Molecule: long non-coding RNA, 8826 nt
Filed under: Fragaria vesca (wild strawberry)
Lineage: Eukaryota; Viridiplantae; Streptophyta; Magnoliopsida; Rosales; Rosaceae
Description: long non-coding RNA (FVES_LNC001090)
Source: RNAcentral
AUGCACAUACCGAAUAAGAAGUGGUCAAGGCUUUUGUUCUUCACAAGUUCAUAAACAAGUAUCUUUUCUUCUCCUUCAGAGCAAAACCCCAGCAGCCUCACUAAGUUUCUGUGCUGAAGUUUGGCCACCAAAACAACCUCAUUCUUAAACUCCAUGACACCCUGCCCGGAGCUUUUAGAUAGCCUCUUCACAGCUAUCUCUUGCCCAUUAGGUAGUGUGCCCUGAAAAUUAAUGUAGUAGACUAGUAACCAAUAUCUCAAGCACUCUUUUAUAUAUGAGUUCAACAUACCCCAUUUUAAUAAGUUUUCUUUUCAAAUUCAUCAUGCAUGUUCAAGAAUUCAAAUCACAGUUACCUUGUAGACCUCUCCAAAGCCUCCUCCGCCUAACUUGUUAUUAACAGAGAACCGGUUUGUGGCUGCUUCUAUGGUAGCCAAGUCAAACUGCAAAGACUCUACGGUAGUAAUUUCAUGCAUGUUGCCAUUUUGCUCUUGUACAGCAUCAUACUUCUUCCUUGUCUUUCUUUUUAAGAAAAUACAGCCUACCAAGAAAAGAACUAUGGCAAUUGGAACAACAAUGGCCACUAUUGUUAAGGGUGAGAUUUGGUCAUUAUUUCCUGCAUAGAGUAAAUAUUAAGAUUAAUGCAACUAUAGAAAUGAGACAAAACAUGUUACAUAAGCUAUGGUCCUGCUGUAUAUUCAUUUUACCUUGAUCAGGUCUCGUUACUGAACCUGGGGGAGGGGGAGGAAGAAGCGGUGAUGGAGGCGAUGGCGCUGGUGGCUGUGUGGCGCAGCUUGAACUGUAUAAAACGGAGAGACAUCAUGUUGAAUAUCACAACUAGGAACUAGGACAUUUCCCGCUCGCUUUCCAUUACAACAAUCUGGAAGAAAUGAAAUAGAUCCUCGAAGACAACGAUUACAACUUUGGCUCGACAGGUCUGCUGUGCACUGCACAAGGGUGUACAACAUCUGAAAAUCUGUGAAGUUCACUUCUUCUGUUGCGAAUUUUUUCCUACCGGAAGGUGCAUCAGCAGCACGAUCCACCAAGCUGCUCAUAGUUUGUCCCAGCAGCUGCAUGAAGCGGUCAGGCUCGGUGAUAUUCCCAGUGUUCACCAUGUAAAUUAUUGGUGAUUCCUCCAAGUUUCCAAAGAAGGAUGUGUCUGAGUAGCGUACCAUGCAGAUGUCAUACCAUAUUAUUCCAUUUUUUCUCAAGGCGCAAUCCUUUGGGACUCCAUUUCUGGCUAUAGUAGACACACAUUCUUGACACUUUUCAGGUGUCACAUCGCCACGGCAACUAAAAGAUCCGUAGACAUCCGUGCCGGGGCCUUGGCCGCCGACUGUGGUGUUGUAGAAUCCGAGGUCAUUGGUUGCGUUGGAGGUGAGAUAGGAGAAGAGGAGAUUGAGAUUGGACUCGUAGGUGCUGUUGGGAGUGAAAUUUCCGGUGUUUGCGGGACAUAAAAUGGACCUGUAAGUAAUUUCAGCUUCGAUGCUGAGGCUAAGGCAACCAAGAACGGUGAACAACACAAACACAUGAGAAGAAGAAGAAGGCAUUAUGAUAAUCUGCUAUUCUGAAUCAUGAUGAUUACUCCCUCUUACCAUAUAUUAAAAAAAUUGUUGACAGGAGUGAAUACCAGGGAGGUUGAAAGUCGCGGAAGAAUAAUGAGUGCUGGAAAUUAGCAGAGAUGAUUGAGAAAAGUCUGAAUUUUCAUGUUCUUCGUUUUGCUUUUUUCUCAGUUGAGAAAAGUCUUUGAAUUUUCAUGUUCUUCGUAACUGAUUGAGAAAAGCGUGUAAAUGCUGAAUACGUACAUUGUAUAACUGAUUGAGUUAUACAUCGAAUUCUGAUACAUUGAUGUAUAACUCCAUCUGGAUAUGAAGACAGAUUCACAGAAAUGCAAGAUCAACUCCAGAAUAUUCAACGGAGACCUACAAAAGCUAUAAACCUUUUCCAAGAUAAAGAUGUGAAGACCAGAGCGUGUCAAUCACUUUUCGUGGGCAAAGCUAGGUCUUUCUUUGAUUUCCAAGUUCCAACUGUACAUAAGAGACCUUAUUUAUGAUCAAAAUUAAACAAGAUACUGAAACUCAGAAAAAAGAGAAAUUUCAUCUGAACUUUCCAAAACCUAACAACGGUCGUAUUCGUCAAGGAAUAAAUUCCAGUGACAUCCCCACAACAAACAUAGAUCGAUUGACAGAAAUGCAUGCAUGAUUUUCUUUUGAUCUGGAAAUGCAUGGCAUAAUGUACACCUUGUUUACUGAUUCUAAGGUUUUAACUUGCUGAUAGCGAGAUCAAUAAGACUCCAGCGCGAUCUUCGACAUGUUCAUAUACUGUUAUAAUUUGAAACAAAAUGGUUCGUCUUGAGGUAAAGACGCAGUGCAGCCGUGCAGAAUAGGUAGAUAAGCAAUUACAUUGCACUGUAGGCCUGCUAGAUGGAUGAGCAGCAAGUAAUCCAAUAUAUGGUUACAUUUUUGUUCUUUUUGUUUUUUUUAUUGAAUACAAGAUAGUUUCAUAAAUGUCCAAAGCUGGAAAUUUCAUACAUCAAAAGCGCAAACUUAAGCAUCAGAAAACUUAGACUCGAAGCCAACACUAUGAAGGUGUCAUCCCUUCUCAACAGUUUGUUGUGCUAGAUAUUACUCACAUUAUCGAGGGAAUAAUUCAGUAAUUGAAACUUCAUUAACAGAAUAUGAGACUGAGCUGCUAGUGGGUUUAUCUGAUGCUCCCGUGGCUACUGAUGGCAUGUUCAAAUCUCCUUUACUAUGCAGGAAAAACGCUGGCUUUUCAGGCAAUGGCAUACUGAUAGAGUAACUGCUUAGCAUGAGAACUAUGGUUUGCAUUGUAGGUCUCUCCUCUGGAUCUUCCUGAACACACAGUAAACCAAUAUGGAUACAUCUGGUUACUUCAUUUCUUGCAUAAGAACCUCUCAGACUUGAAUCCAACAAUUCUUCAGGCGUCCCAUCCCUCCAAUGUUUCCAAGCCUGCAAUUUUUUUGUAUGAGCCCUCAAGAUGUUGCAACCAUUCGAAUGUAAUAAUAAUCAUUAACAUAAUAUACUUAAAAAUGCAUGAAAUUAAUUAAAAUGUCUAAUUUAUAGUCUUGAACUCACAUAGGUCAAGAGAUCUUCACCACGGUCUGAUUGAUAGAAACUAGUGUUUUUCUUGCCUGUUACAAUCUCUAAGAUUAAGACACCAAGACUAUACACAUCAGACUUCACUGAGAACUGUCCAUGCAUUGCAUACUCUGGAGACAUAUAACCACUUUAAACCAACAGCAUCCAUAAAAAAAUGUUAGUACAAAUAUGGUGUGAGAAUAUUGGUAUCACUUGCAUAUACAGAAAUACACAAAGUUCUGCACUUACUAAGUUCCGACAAUCAUUCUAGUGCAUCCUUGAGUUUGAUCAACUCCAAAUAUUCUUGCCAUCCCAAAAUCUGAUACUUUUGGGUUCAUUUCUCCAUCUAACAAUAUGUUGCUUGCUUUGAGAUCGCGAUGUAUGAUUUUAAGCCGAGAAUCUUGAUGGAGAUAGAGAAUCCCUCUAGCAAUCCCGCCUAUAAUCUUGUAUCUGGUUGACCAAUCCAACUUCACUUGAAUGUCUGAGUCUGCUUCCAUGUUUGUCAGAAGAAAGUAUACAGUUAGAAUAAGUAAAUCAAUUCGCUUAAAGAACAGCUAUUCAAUUUCCCUAUGAAGAUUAACAUCUUACAAGGCACAUACCGAAUAAAAAGUGGUCAAGGCUUUUGUUCUGCACAAAUUCAUAGAUAAGUAUCUUUUCUUCUCCUUCAGAGCAAAAUCCCAGUAGCCUCACUAAAUUUCUGUGCUGAAGUUUGGCCACCAAAACUACCUCAUUCUUAAACUCCUUGACACCUUGCCCGGAGCUUCUAGAUAACCUCUUCACUGCUACUUCUUGUCCAUUAGGAAGUGUUCCCUGAAAAUUAAGAUAGAAACAAGCAAGUAUCUAAUCGCUUAACCGUCUUGAACUCUCUCAUACAUAUUCUAUAUGCAGCAUAUUUACGGAUCAAACGUCAUAAUUACCUUGUAAACCUCUCCAAAGCCACCUUCCCCUAAUCUGUUACUAACAGAGAACUGGUUUGUGGCUGCUUCAAUUGUAGCAAAAUCAAACUGCAAUGACUCCACAGUAGUAAUUUCACUAAUUUCACUGCCCCCUACAGCAUCAACAAAUAGCCAAUUAAUAAUAGGCACAUAUGCUUUAAGACUUGAACUGUACAAGAGCAAAGAAAAAACAUGCAUGUUACCAUUUUGUCCUUGCAAAGCAUCAUACUCUUUUCUUGUCUUUCUUCUUAGCAAAAAGCAGCCUACCAAGAAAAGCACUAUGGCAAUUGGAACAACAAUGGCCACUAUGAUUAAGGAUGAGAUUUGGUCAUUUCCUGCAUAGAUUCAAUAUCAAGGUUUAUGUAACUGUAUAAAUUAAAAAGAGCAACUACAUAAUAUAAGCCCUGCUUCUAACUUCCAAAAUCUCACUACUGAACCUGGAGGUGGGGGAGGAAGAAUCAGAGGCCGUGGCGGUGGUGAAGGUGUGGCUGCUUCAGUUGUAUAAAAUGGAUAAACUUCAUAUCGGACAUUACAACUAGGAUAUAAAACGUUACCACCUUGCUUUCCAUUACAACAACCUGGAAGUUGCGCCACAGCUCCUCGAAGACAUGUUUCACAACUUGUGCUUGAUAGGUCCGGUGUGCACUGCACAAGGCUGUACAACUUCUGAAACCCUGUGAAAUCUGCUUCUUUCGUCGCAUACUUUUUAGCACCGGACGGUGCAUUUGAGGCCAGAUCCACCAAACCAUUGACUGUUUCUCCAAGCAGCUGCAUAAAGCGGGUAGGGUCAGAGAUAUUCCCAAUGUUCCACAUGGAAACUCGAGGAGCUUCGUCCAUUCUGUUCAAGAAGGACUGGUUUGUGUAGCGCAGCAUGCACUCGUCGUACCAUAUUAUCGCAAUCUUUCCCAAGGGACAGAACGUUUGGACACCAUCUUUGGCUAUAGUAGCAACACAUUCUUGGCACAACUCAGGGGUGAGAUCUCCACGGCAUAGGAAAGAACCGUAAACUACUUCUGUGGUGGAGUUUAGCACGCCAGCUCUAGUGUAGUAGAAUCCAAUAUCUCGUGUGGCGUUGGAUGUGAGAGAAGAAAGGAGGAGAUUGAGAUUAGACUGGUAGGAGCUGUUGGGAGUGAAACUGGUUGUGUUUAAACAGAAAUGAGACCGGUAAGUUGGUGCUUGAGCUUCAAUGCAAACGCCAAGGAAGCCAAGAAUGGGGAGCACUACAAAGGCAAUGAACAGAUUAGAAGACAUUCUGAUAACUAUUUCGUUUCUGAUGAUCACUUCCUCUUACAUAUGUACAAAAGAAAGGUAUAGCUGCCCUGCUUGAGAUGUUGCUAUAAAUUGGCAGGAAUUGUGAGGCUAUAUUCAUCUCAGUCUUCAGUCAAUUUUGGAAAAAGACUCCAUUAAGAGUCGUGUUAUACUUGGUACUUUUUCUGCGUUAUUACUUAGAACUUUACUUUUCUCACAAGAUUCAUGCCGCAUAUAAUGGUGUAUUCUGAUGAGAUUCUUGAUCUGAAGUAUAUAUGUGGUUAUAUGUUUACUGUCUUAAUACGAGCAAAUGUUGGUAGCAUCUUCAACAACUUGUACGUAUUUCAUUUCAUCUAUAUUUCAUACAAACAACUAUAGCGACAACAGAAGGUUGUAUCAGUCACAAUGCUAGGCUAAGAAAGCUUAAAGUGGCGAGGAGCACAACUGCACAAGGUUCAUGAACACACUGAAAGAAGGGCAUUCUGAAUUUCUGAUCACUUCACUAUUCCCUUGACCACUUUUUACUAUGUAUUAGAAAGAUUCAAUUAAUGUAGUUGAAUUUAGGCCAUAAGUGAUUAUCAAUAGCUAUAAAUUGACAGGAGUGGUGACUUGUUACUUGGUUAGGUUGCGGUCGUCUCAGUUUAUGGUCAAUAUUUGUCCUUACUUAAGACUAGAACGAAGAAGCUCCUAUCAAGGUUUGAUUUCUGGAAAUCAAGAUAAUGAAAAAUAAGUUGCUGUGGGUGCAGGACAAACUGUGUUCGUGAUUGGUUUACUCUUCCUCUUAUUAAAAGUAUCUUUGAUACAGUAUAUGUUCUGUAUUAAGUACUUUUUAUCAUACCUUUCUCAAAUAUUAAAUACUUUUCUCACCUUCUGAUUACUAUGAUGUGUUGAGAUAUAUAUCCCACAUCGGGAAUAAUAGGAUUUUGCAUGUGGUUUAUAAGAGUUUGGGCCACUCCAUCCAUUGUCAAUUGGUUUUGGAUGUGAACCUCAGACUACUUUAUCAUGGUAUCAGAGCGGGUUACCCACGUCCACGUGUGAAACCCAAAGGCCACACAAACUCUACGUCACCCAAAAUGUUGUCAACGUAUUAGGCUUGAAGAUUCGCCACACGUGCAGAGGCGUGUUGAGAUAUAUAUCCCACAUCGGGAAUAAUGGAACCUUGCCUGUGGUUUAUAAGGGUUUGGGCCACUCCACCCAUUGCCAAUUGGUUUUUGGACGGGGACCCCAUAGGGUUUGGGCCAUUCGCCACACGUGCAGGGGCGUGUUGAGAUAUAUAUCCCACAUCGGGAAUAAUGGAACCUUGCCUGUGGUUUAUAAAGGUUUGUGCCACUCCAUCCAUUGCCAAUUGGUUUUGGACGAGACCCUAUAGGGUUUGGGCCACUCUAUCCAUUACCAAUUGGUUUUGGACGGGACCCCGUACUACUUUAUCAAGAUGAUCACUAUGUGUAAGAAAGAUUCAGCUGCCAUAUACUCUUUCCUCUUUCUAAGAGCAUCUUUGAUACGUGUUAUGUAUUAGGUGAGAUAAAGUUACAGACCCAACAAAGACAACAAAAGAAAAUCAAGUUACAGACCCAACAAAGACAACAAAAGAAACCUAAAAAGGCCCAAAUCAGAAGCAAACCCUACAGAGAGACUAAGGUAGAUCAGAGAGGAACAGCAGCCGCCACCCGCCGUCGCGGCCGUAACUGCCACCACACGCCUGUAAGAGAAAAUUGUUCCGAUGGCCAAAACCGAUCCCGAUCUGAAAUAGCCAAUCCACAUCGAAACAGAGCUCGAGAACAAACCCAAAUCUACAUUGAAACUCACCACCACAUAGCCAGCAGAUGAGACGCUGCCGGCACCGUCGCAGACAACCAAGUAAAGAAAAGGACAGAAGUGUCGAUGCAUGCAUCAAAGACGCCGUUCGAUCUCUGUACACCUCUAUUUCACACUUACAGGGUAUAGAUAUGAGAAAGCAGACAAGAAGUUUUGAUGAGACUCGCAGAGAUUGGAGUUGGAGUUUUCAUAGAGAGAACAUGAGGCUAGAUCUGGAGGAGGGAAGAAGAAAACAUGGAAUUGCAAGAGAAAAGGACAGACUCCGCCGCCGGAAAACCGGAUGGAGAUGUCGGAAAGACGGACAAGGCCGUCAGAGGGACAGACAACGCCUUCAGGCAGGCGGACGGAGCCGCCAAGGGAAGGAGCACGCCGCCGACGCUCAACGAAGCCUCCAGGAAGAGAAAGUCUACCCUCUCUGUUUUCCCUUCUCUCUCUACCCUCUCUGUUUUUUUUUUGGUGACCCUACUUACUGCUAGUUAGCUUUAACGAGGGUACAAUUCAGAAUUUGAUGCUUCAUUAACUGAACAAGCUGAAUUGCUAGAGUGUUGGUUUAAUGGUUGAGAUGUUAAUGAUGGCAUCCUCAUUUCUUCUGUACUAUGUAGGAAAAAUGCUGGCUUUUGAGGCAAUGGCAUAGUUACCGAGUAACUGCUUAGCAUGAGAACUACGGUUUGCAUUGUAGGUCUCUUCUCUGGAUCUUCUUGGACACACAGUAAAGCAAUAUGGAUACAUCUGAUUACUUCAUUUCUUGAAUAAGAACGUCUUAGAUUUCGAUCCAGCAACUCUUCUGGCGUCCCAUCCCUCCAAUGGUUCCAAGCCUAGAAUUUUUUCAUUUCAUGAAUCCAUUAGAAUGUAAGAAACUUGCAAUCUUGAAAAAAUUAUUUACUUGCUCAGAUAUCUGAAUUCAACUUAUACUCACAUAGGUCAAGAGGUAUUCGCCACGUUCGGAUUGAAAGCUAGUGUUCUUCUCGCUGGUUACAAUCUCUAAGAUCAAGACACCAAGACUGUACACAUCAGAUUUCACCGAGAACUGUCCGUGCAUUACGUACUCUGUACUCUGGAGGCAUGUAACCACUUAAAUCGGCAGCAUCAAUAAAGCGAUAUGUUAGUACUUAAUUAGCAGAGACAUAGUAUAAUACCAGUGAUAUCAAUUAUAUAUGAAGACAAUCAAUGCAAAUUCUUGUACUUACUAAGUUCCAACAAUCCUUCUGGUAUUUUCUUGAGUUUGAUCACCUCCAAAUAUUCUUGCCAUGCCAAAAUCUGCUAUUUUGGGGUUCAUUUCCCCAUCUAGCAAUAUGUUGCUUGCUUUGAGAUCGCGAUGUAUGAUUUUAAGUCUAGAAUCUUGAUGGAGAUAGAGAAUCCCUCUAGCAAUCCCACUGAUAAUCUUGUAUCUGCUUGACCAAUCUAGCUUGCCUCGAUUGUCCGAGUCUGUUUCCAUGUAUGUCAGCAAAAAGGUUAUCAGGUUGCAAUAAGUAAAUCAAAAUCAUAGCAUAUAUGAAGAUUAUACUUCUUACAAGUUUACAAGGCAUGCACAUACCGAAUAAGAAGUGGUCAAGGCUUUUGUUCUUCACAAGUUCAUAAACAAGCAUCUUUUCUUCUCCUUCAGAGCAAAACCCCAGCAGCCUCACUAGGUUUCUGUGCUCAAGCUUGGCCACCAAAACAACCUCAUUCUUAAACUCCAUGUGACCUUGCCCGGAGCUUUUAGAUAGCCUCUUCACAGCUAUCUCUUGCCCAUU